AUGCAAUGCAUAGAGACUGCGUCAAACCCAGGUCCUAGGUUACUAAGCACAACAGUAGCACAUGAUAAAAUUUCUUCAACUCAGAAAUAUCAAGAGAGGGGGCGUCAAAAGCUACCUGCUAUCUGUCUGAAGUCUACUGCCCAACUAUCUACACCAUGUGAGGUGACACAAGGGGAAGAAAAACGAAUAGGAAAAUAUAUGGACGAAAUGCUUGCACGGGAAGCUUUCAACAAAUGUCGACUCAAAAGGAGGGGCCAACAAAUUCCAGUUUGCAUCUUGAAAGUUACGAAAGAACAAGUUACACAAAAGUCUUCAGGGUUAUUCAGGAGCAAGUGA
Molecule: ribosomal RNA, 336 nt
Filed under: Triticum aestivum (bread wheat)
Lineage: Eukaryota; Viridiplantae; Streptophyta; Magnoliopsida; Poales; Poaceae
Description: partial small subunit ribosomal RNA
Source: RNAcentral